Clostridium baratii str. Sullivan is the source of this 349-nucleotide non-coding RNA. It matches the Rfam family "Bacterial RNase P class A". From Rfam's summary of the family: Ribonuclease P (RNase P) is a ubiquitous endoribonuclease, found in archaea, bacteria and eukarya as well as chloroplasts and mitochondria. Its best characterised activity is the generation of mature 5'-ends of tRNAs by cleaving the 5'-leader elements of precursor-tRNAs. NCBI's taxonomy places the organism in Bacteria, Bacillati, Bacillota, Clostridia, Eubacteriales, Clostridiaceae. The record is from Rfam.
CGAGUAAGACGUGCAAUCGCUGCUAGCCUUAGAGCUAGGAGAGGAAAGUCGGAGCUCCAUAGGGCAGGGUGCUGGCUAACGGCCAGUCGAGGCGACUCGAAGGAAAGUGCAACAGAAAUAUACCGCCUAAGAUUGGAUUCUUGGGUAAGGAUGGAAAGGCGAGGUAAGAGCUCACCAGCAUAAUGGAGACAUUAUGGCUAUGUAAACCCCACUUGGAGCAAGACCGAGAAAGAAGCGUUUUGGGGCGGCCCGUCCCGCUUCGUGGUGUGUCGCUUGAGCUUGUUAGCAAUAACAAGUCUAGAUAGAUGAUUGCUUAAUACAGAACUCCGCUUAUGGCUUAUCUCGCAUG